Molecule: unclassified non-coding RNA, 233 nt
Filed under: plant metagenome
Description: partial contains small subunit ribosomal RNA, internal transcribed spacer 1, and 5.8S ribosomal RNA
Source: RNAcentral
UUUCCGUAGGUGAACCUGCGGAAGGAUCAUUAUUGGAUUUUGAAACUUCAGGCUGCUGCUGGCUCUCCUCGGAGGGCAUGUGCACGCUUGUUGUCCAUUAUUUCUCCCACUGUGCACAAAUUGUAGGCCUUUCAGUAGGCCUAUGUUGUUUUUCACAAUCUCUGAAUGUAAUAGAAUGGUUUUGAAUCUUGGGGAAUAUAAUACAACUUUCAACAACGGAUCUCUUGGCUCUC